UACGGAGGAUCCGAGCGUUAUCCGGAUUUAUUGGGUUUAAAGGGUGCGUAGGCGGGAGAUUAAGUCGGUGGUGAAAUUUUGCAGCUCAACUGUAAAAGUGCCAUUGAUACUGGUUUUCUUGAGUGUGGAUGAAGUAGGCGGAAUUUGUGGUGUAGCGGUGAAAUGCAUAGAUAUCACGAGGAACUCCGAUUGCGCAGGCAGCUUACUAAACCAUAACUGACGCUCAGGCACGAAGGCGUGGGGAUCAAACAGGAUUAGAUACCCU
This 265-nucleotide ribosomal RNA is filed under the name uncultured prokaryote. RNAcentral's name for it is "partial 16S ribosomal RNA". It matches the Rfam family "Bacterial small subunit ribosomal RNA", at positions 524 to 788 of the family's 1533-position model. The record is from RNAcentral.